Molecule: ribosomal RNA, 1346 nt
Filed under: uncultured rumen bacterium
Lineage: Bacteria
Description: bacterial SSU rRNA
Rfam family: Bacterial small subunit ribosomal RNA
Source: RNAcentral
CAGGCCUAACACAUGCAAGUCGAACGGAGAUAUAUGUAGGAAGUUUUCGGAUGGAAUAUAUAUAUCUUAGUGGCGGACGGGUGAGUAACGCGUAAACAAUCUGCCUUAGAGAGGGGGAUAACAGAUAGAAAUAUUUGCUAAUACCGCAUAAGACCAAGCUUGGCAUCAAGCAAUGGUAAAAGGAGCAAUCCGCUUUAAGAUGAGUUUGCGUACUAUUAGCUAGUUGGUGAGGUAACGGCCCACCAAGGUGACGAUGGUUAGCCGGCCUGAGAGGGUGAACGGCCACAUUGGAACUGAGAUACGGUCCAGACUCCUACGGGAGGCAGCAGUGAGGAAUAUUGGGCAAUGGGCGAAAGCCUGACCCAGCAACGCCGCGUGAAGGAAGAAGGUUUUCGGAUUGUAAACUUCUGUUAUAGGGGAAAAGGAAAGUGAUGGUACCCUAUGAGAAAGCUACGGCAAACUAUGUGCCAGCAGCCGCGGUAAUACAUAGGUAGCGAGCGUUAUCCGGAAUAACUGGGCGUAAAGGGAGUGUAGGUGGCGUUUCAAGUCUUAUGUGAAAGCCCUCGGCUUAACUGAGGGAUUGCAUAAGAAACUAGAAUGCUAGAGUGCGAGAGAGGCAAGUGGAAUUCCUAGUGUAGCGGUAGAAUGCGUAGAGAUUAGGAGGAACACCAGAGGCGAAGGCGACUUGCUGGUUCGCAACUGACACUGAGACUCGAAAGCGUGGGGAGCAAACAGGAUUAGAUACCCUGGUAGUCCACGCCCUAAACGAUGGAUACUAGAUGUGUGAUGAAUCGACUCAUUGCGUAUCGAAGCUAACGCGAUAAGUAUCCCGCCUGAGUAGUACGGCCGCAAGGUUGAAACUUAAAGGAAUUGACGGGGACCCGCACAAGCAGCGGAGCAUGUCGUUUAAUUCGACGCAACACGAAGAACCUUACCAAGGCUUGACAUCGGAUGCAUAGUAUGGAAACAUAUGAAGUUUGUUGUAGUAAUACAAUAGACAUCCAGACAGAUGGUGCAUGGUUGUCGUCAGCUCGUGUCGUGAGAUGUUGGGUUAAGUCCCGCAACGAGCGCAACCCUUGUCAUUAGUUGCUAAUAUUAAGUUAAGGACUCUAAUGAGACUGCCGUAGAUAAUACGGAGGAAGGUGGGGAUGACGUCAAAUCAUCAUGCCUCUUACGCCUUGGGCAACAAACGUGCUACAAUGGUGACCACAAAGAGAAGCGAGAUAGUAAUAUGGAGCGAACCUCAAAAAGGUCAUCUCAGUUCAGAUUGUGGGCUGCAACCCGCCCACAUGAAGAUGGAGUUGCUAGUAAUCCCGAAUCAGCAUGUCGGGGUGKUUCGUUCCCGG